UCCUAAUUCACUUUAGGUCUUGCUGCAUUUUUAGAAUGUUUUACUUUUCAGCCACAGCAUUUUUAAUAAAGAUCCGUAUCACUGUAGUGUGUGUGUGUGUGUGUGUGUGUGUUUGUGUGCGUGUUCAUGUGAGCCGUUCAUACACAGCCGUUUCCAAGAAGAUGAAGAUCUUCCACUCUGGCGCUCUCCAGCAAUUGGGUCGUUGGUCUUCUUCAUCCUUCUCUUCCUAUGUUCGCCUGGAUUUCCACUCCAUUCUAUCUGCUCAAUGUUUUAUCAGCUCUCAGAUUGAAAUGGAGUUUUGACGAAAAUUCAGAAUGAAAGACGCACCUUCAC
This is a long non-coding RNA of Girardinichthys multiradiatus, 333 nucleotides long. RefSeq lists it as uncharacterized. Lineage: Eukaryota; Metazoa; Chordata; Actinopteri; Cyprinodontiformes; Goodeidae. The record is from RefSeq and is a predicted model, not a curated record. The transcript is spliced from 3 exons.